UAUAACGUUGCCAUCUCGACCCUGAUGCCCAUGAACACAAAUGACGAGUUUAAGACAAACCAAUGGCGGAAUGGAAUUGAUUAAUGGAAUAAAAUAUUUAUUAUGUAUGGACACUAAGUUUUAUGGUUAGACUUUAGCCUAAAAAAACAUGCGCGCUGAUUACAAUUUUGGCAGUCAUAUCUGAAUGGCUCAAAAACUGGUUAUAUUUCUUUAACUUUUGGUAUACUUAAAUUCGGGCUAUUAUUUAAUAUAUAUAUUGAUCAACAGCGGCGAUAAAAAUCAUUAGUCUCGACAAUGACUAGUUGUCAGUGAAAGUCUCUCAGGGGAGCCAGGCGGCUCUGUGAAUAAAGAGCUGGCUUGAACGCCUCGUGUUCAUUAGCCUGAAUAGUGAAGGAAUGCGGGUCAUUAAACCCCAAUUUCAUUUCAUAAAUCACUCGGCUCAAUAAUGAGCUACUCGGGUUGGUUAGAUCCACGCCUUAAUGCAUAUACAACCAAUAGAGAAAUAGGUCAAAUAUGGCGACAAUGAUCAACUUGCUCUUCUUCUACUAAAUUAAAGAUUCGUGUGGAGAUUCUGUCGAUAUAAUCAUAUAUUUAUAUCUGCUCUUUCUUAAAAUGGAGACGUCCAUCUCUGAGACAACAAAAACGUAAAUAAAUGGAAGAUAAAAGCAAGAAAGACAACCCUAAUAAAGGAGUCAGGACUAAGACUAGUAAUUAUUUCCCCUUAUUUCAUGAUUGUCGAAUGUAGUGCGAGUUAUAAAUAGACAAUUUUUCCCUUAAUUUUUUUCUCCCCUCUUCCUGCAUUUUUGGGUUGACUUUUUGGUCUAGAAUUGGAGAAAAGGGAUCAAAUUUGCAAUUUCAUAGCAGUUUUGGGUAAUACUGAUGAUAUUACAGCGGAGGGAUAGGGGGUGUAAAGUGUCUUUCUGCAGAGCAAUCAUUGUGUUGGAAGUGAGAUUUUCACCCCUGUCAACUUCAAAUCCGUGUAGCAAAAAAUCUAAACGGUCAACCCCCUACAAAAUUAUGAUGAGGAGAUUGCCAAAUGUUGUCCCCAUUGUGCCUAUAAAGAUUGGAACCAACGGAAUGUUGAGCAAAAAGCUACAGCCUGUGAUGUUACAGUCAUUUAACAUUGAAGUCAAUGGGCAAAUAAUUGCUAGUCUGACUCCUGAUGAUAUAAAGAAGCAUGGCCGACUCGGGAUGUUGAUAUUUUUUCAACGGCUUAUUUCCUGAAGUUUUGAAUGGAAAGUGUCAGAAAUGGUGCCAGGGCAAUGUUUCAUAGAGUGGAAUGAUUGACCUCAACACAAGUAUUAAAAAAAAAGAAGCAAAACAGUUUCAAUAUUGGAUGUAUAUGCAAAUCCCCCAGAAAAAGAUCAUGUAAUAACAAAAGAAAUUAUAAAAGAAAAAAAGUAAGAAGAAAAGAAGUAAGAAGAAAUGGCUGGAAAAAAUGAUGAUAGAGCAGCUUUUUCUUGUUACCCACCUCGGAAGAUCAAGUUGGAAAGGGCUAUUGAUAUUGUGGAGACGUUUUCUCACAGAUCUUGCUUAUCAGACAAAGACUAUGCUGGAACACCAUUGAAAGAGUAUUUGCUGUAUGAUAACAACAAGAAAACCCAAGCAUCAAUUUAUUUUAUACUUCUGGGAAAGAAUGCAUUUGACCCAAUUUUUAAAUAUUUAUUUUUUGUUAUUAAUGUUAAAUUUUCUUCCAAAACACAAUUAGAUUUUAAUUCUCUUCAGAAAUGUAUGUAUAAUAUAGCAAGUAAAGUGGCAUAUAAAUCACUUAGAAUUUGGUCAGAAAUCAUAAAGUAUUUAAUAGGCAUUACUAGAAACCAAAUGUAGAUCAAAUACA
Patella vulgata (common limpet) is the source of this 1837-nucleotide long non-coding RNA. RefSeq lists it as uncharacterized. NCBI's taxonomy places the organism in Eukaryota, Metazoa, Mollusca, Gastropoda, Patellidae. The transcript has 6 exons. The record is from RefSeq and is a predicted model, not a curated record.